RNAcentral lists this ribosomal RNA (458 nucleotides) under uncultured bacterium. RNAcentral's name for it is "partial 16S ribosomal RNA". It matches the Rfam family "Bacterial small subunit ribosomal RNA", at positions 338 to 795 of the family's 1533-position model. The record is from RNAcentral.
CCUACGGGAGGCAGCAGUGAGGAAUAUUGGUCAAUGGGCGAGAGCCUGAACCAGCCAAGUCGCGUGAGGGAGUACUGCCCUAUGGGUUGUAAACCUCUUUUGUCGGGGAGCAAAAGCCGGACGUGUCCGGCUGUGAGAGUACCCGAAGAAAAAGCAUCGGCUAACUCCGUGCCAGCAGCCGCGGUACUACGGAGGAUGCGAGCGUUAUCCGGAUUUAUUGGGGUUAAAGGGUGCGCAGGCGGAUUUUUAAGUCAGCGGUCAAAUCGUGGGGCUCAACCCCAUCCAGCCGGUGAAACUGGUGAUCUAGAGUGUGCGAGAGGUAUGCAGAAUGCGUGGUGUAGCGGUGAAAUGCGUAGAUAUCACGCAGAACCCCGAUUGCGAAGGCAGCAUACCGGUGCACAACUGACGCUCAGGCACGAAAGCGUGGGUAUCGAACAGGAUUAGAUACCCUAGUAGUC